Molecule: ribosomal RNA, 244 nt
Filed under: uncultured bacterium
Lineage: Bacteria
Description: partial 16S ribosomal RNA
Rfam family: Bacterial small subunit ribosomal RNA
Source: RNAcentral
GAUCCUGGCUCAGGAUGAACGCUGGCGGCGUGCCUAACACAUGCAAGUCGAACGGACUUACAUUGAAGCCUAGCGAUAUGUAAGUUAGUGGCGGACGGGUGAGUAACGCGUGGGUAACCUGCCUUGUACUGGGGGACAACAGUUGGAAACGACUGCUAAUACCGCAUAAGCGUACAGCUUCACAUGAAGCAGUGUGAAAAACUCCGGUGGUACAAGAUGGACCCGCGUCUGAUUAGCUGGUUGG